GACGAACGCUGGCGGCGUGCUUAACACAUGCAAGUCGAACGGAAAGGCCCUGCUUUUGUGGGGUGCUCGAGUGGCGAACGGGUGAGUAACACGUGAGUAACCUGCCCUUGACUUUGGGAUAACUUCAGGAAACUGGGGCUAAUACCGGCUAGGUGCUCCUGCUGCAUGGUGGGGGUUGGAAAGUUUCGGCGGUUGGGGAUGGACUCGCGGCUUAUCAGUUUGUUGGUGGAGUAGUGGCUUACCAAGGCUUUGACGGGUAGCCGGCCUGAGAGGGUGAACGGCCACAUGGGGACUAAGAGACGGCCCAGACGCCAACGGGGGGCAGCAGUGGGGAGUAUUGCACAAUGGGCGGAAGCCUGAUGCAGCAACGCCGCGUGCGGGAUGACGGCCUUCGGGGUGUAAACCGCAUUAGCCUGUGACGAAGCGUGAGUGACGGUAAUGAGAAAAGAAGCACCGGCUAACUACGUG
This 468-nucleotide ribosomal RNA is filed under the name uncultured bacterium. RNAcentral's name for it is "partial 16S ribosomal RNA". It matches the Rfam family "Bacterial small subunit ribosomal RNA", at positions 28 to 507 of the family's 1533-position model. The record is from RNAcentral.